RNAcentral lists this ribosomal RNA (303 nucleotides) under uncultured bacterium. RNAcentral describes it as "partial 16S ribosomal RNA". It matches the Rfam family "Bacterial small subunit ribosomal RNA", at positions 507 to 809 of the family's 1533-position model. The record is from RNAcentral.
AGCAGUCGCCGCGGUAAUACAGAGGGUGCGAGCGUUAAUCGGAUUUACUGGGCGUAAAGCGUGCGUAGGCGGCUAAUUGAGUCGGAUGUGAAAUCCCCGAGCUUAACUUGGGAAUUGCAUUCGAUACUGGUUAGCUAGAGUGUGGGAGAGGAUGGUAGAAUUCCAGGUGUAGCGGUGAAAUGCGUAGAGAUCUGGAGGAAUACCGAUGGCGAAGGCAGCCAUCUGGCCUAACACUGACGCUGAGGUACGAAAGCAUGGGGAGCAAACAGGAUUAGAUACCCGAGUAGUCCCUGUCUCUUAUAA